This 252-nucleotide ribosomal RNA is filed under the name uncultured bacterium. RNAcentral describes it as "partial 16S ribosomal RNA". It matches the Rfam family "Bacterial small subunit ribosomal RNA", at positions 524 to 775 of the family's 1533-position model. The record is from RNAcentral.
GACGUAGGAGACGAGCGUUGUCCGGAUUUACUGGGCGUAAAGCGCGCGCAGGCGGCCCCGCAGGUCGGUUGUGAAAGCCCCCGGCUCAACCGGGCGGAGGCGAGCGAAACCGCGGGGCUGGAGGCUGGCAGAGGGUGGUGGAAUUCCCGGUGUAGUGGUGAAAUGCGUAGAGAUCGGGAGGAACACCCGCGGCGAAGGCGGCCACCUGGACCAGACCUGACGCUGAGGCGCGAAGGCCGGGGGAGCGAACGG